Molecule: ribosomal RNA, 458 nt
Filed under: uncultured bacterium
Lineage: Bacteria
Description: partial 16S ribosomal RNA
Rfam family: Bacterial small subunit ribosomal RNA
Source: RNAcentral
CCUACGGGGGGCAGCAGUGGGGAAUAUUGCACAAUGGGGGAAACCCUGAUGCAGCGACGCCGCGUGAGUGAAGAAGUAAUUCGUUACGUAAAGCUCUAUCAGCAGGGAAGAAACACUGACCUUACGGUCAGCAGACGGUACCUGAGUAAGAAGCCCCGGCUAACUACGUGCCAGCAGCCGCGGUAAUACGUAGGGGGCAAGCGUUAUCCGGAUUUACUGGGUGGAAAGGGAGCGUAGACGGUGCGCCAAGACUGGAGUGAAAUGCCGCAGCUUAACUGCGGAACUGCUUUGGAAACUGGCGAACUAGAGUGCGGGAGGGGUAAGCGGAAUUCCUAGUGUAGCGGUGAAAUGCGUAGAGAUUAGGAAGAACACCAGUGGCGAAGGCGACUUACUGGACUGUAACUGACGCUGAGGCAUGAGAGCAUGGGGAGCAAACAGGAUUAGAUACCCUUGUAGUC